UCGUUUAGUGGCGGACGGGUGAGUAACGCGUGGGUAACCUGCCCUGUACAGGGGGAUAACAGCUGGAAACGGCUGUUAAUACCGCAUAAGCGCACAGGAGCGCAUGCUCCGGUGUGAAAAACUCUGGUGGUACAGGAUGGACCCGCGUCUGAUUAGCUGGUUGGCGGGGUAACGGCCCACCAAGGCAACGAUCAGUAGCCGGCCUGAGAGGGUGAACGGCCACAUUGGGACUGAGACACGGCCCAAACUCCUACGGAAGGCAGCAG
Molecule: ribosomal RNA, 266 nt
Filed under: uncultured bacterium
Lineage: Bacteria
Description: partial 16S ribosomal RNA
Rfam family: Bacterial small subunit ribosomal RNA
Source: RNAcentral